RNAcentral lists this non-coding RNA (96 nucleotides) under uncultured Planktomarina sp. Its description in RNAcentral is "Pyrrolysine insertion sequence mttB". It matches the Rfam family "Pyrrolysine insertion sequence mttB". The record is from RNAcentral. Lineage: Bacteria; Pseudomonadati; Pseudomonadota; Alphaproteobacteria; Rhodobacterales; Paracoccaceae.
GCAGACGCCAAAUUGCCGGAUAUGCAGGCUGGUUGGGAGCAGGCAAUGUCAAACGUUAUGGCAGGUUUAACGGGCUUAAAUAUGGUUUAUGAAGCC